RNAcentral lists this long non-coding RNA (294 nucleotides) under Calidris pugnax (ruff). RNAcentral's name for it is "lncRNA (ENSCPUG00000016738.1)". Lineage: Eukaryota; Metazoa; Chordata; Aves; Charadriiformes; Scolopacidae. The record is from RNAcentral.
GGCAGCGCCCUGAUAGAGCAUCCAGCAGGAGCUGAAACCGCUGCUGUAGGCAGCCCAGACCCCACUGGAGGAGAGACAGGUUGGAGUUUGUUCAACAGCUACCAAGUAUGAUCUCUGGGAAAAUCCAAAGGAAGAAACUAAGGAACAAGGAAUGGGGAAGAGCCUGGCUUUGCUGCUGAUCAGAACGUGCUCAUCCUGGACUGCUUUUCUGCCUUCUGGUCUUAAGAGCUAUGAAGCACGUAAUUGCCUGAGGACAAAAACAAAGAGAAAACAAGUGCAUAAAAUGCUGCAUCC